Long non-coding RNA from Dreissena polymorpha, 5816 nucleotides. RefSeq lists it as uncharacterized. The transcript is spliced from 2 exons. NCBI's taxonomy places the organism in Eukaryota, Metazoa, Mollusca, Bivalvia, Myida, Dreissenidae. The record is from RefSeq and is a predicted model, not a curated record.
AUUCUCGGUUUGAUAAAUACGGUAUAGUAUGGUUUAAUACGUGUUAUUUAGAAGAGAGAUUAUGGUAAUGGUUUAGCGCGAAUAAUGCACGGGUUUUGUGUGCAUGUUUUAGCGCGAAAGCGCACGAGUUUUUCGUUUUGGGGUAUAUAUGAUUUGCAAAUCUAUUGAGUCGCCAUUCGAGGGUGCAUUUGACAGGCAAACGUUAAGGAACAAGAAAACGAAAGGGUGAUAAAGUAGUUUAGGCGUUCAUUUGCGAAAUACAUAGUGUUCGGAAGGAAAAGAUUUUGCGAGGACUGAUUCACUGCUAGAAGAGGAAUGGUAAGAUGGAGUUUCGAACAAAGGUCAGACUUGAUGGUUCUGUUUAUUUUAAUAACACUGACAACAACAUUCCGAUUGAAAUUAACACAGGUUGUGUUCAUUGUUAACUUUUAUGAAAAUUAUAUUCAAUAACCUGCUCCAUAUUUUUAACCAGGUUGUAUUGGUAGAAGAGUUAGGUCACUCUCCCACAUGUUUUUACGAACACCUUGCUUUAUUUGUGUUGUUUGUAAGAUAAACUCCUUGUAUGGGUAUAUAUGUGUUACAAGUUUUUGUAUUAGUUCCAUACGUAUGAUUCAACAAACGAUUAAUUACAAUUAACUGCCGUAUUUCCUUGUAAUUCAGCAAGAUCUUUGUGUGCGAUAUAUGACGUGGUAUGAUAAUGAGCGGAUAAUAAUUUAUGCGUACAUAUCUUUCAACUAUUCAGGUAUUCCAAUUGUGAAUUAAGAAUGUAACAUCAAAAAUGGAUAUAUUAAGGAAAUUAGAUAUUCUAUUUAUAUAUGAAACAGCAAUAGAGACUUGUCUUGAAAACUUUUUCGAAACAUAUUUGUGUUUUGCAUAUAUUACAUCUCGUUCGCUGGAUAUUGAAAAAACAGUUGAUAUGUUAUUAUUGUAUUCAACAUGCAUAUGUGCGAAUUACCAUAUUUUGGAUAUGAUGUGGUAUAAAUUUGGUUUGAAAAGAGUGUUGACAGUAAGACUGUUGUUUUAAAACUAAGUUGAAAGGCAAUUAUCGGUUUUGUUAAAUUUAGUUUCGUCAUAGUAAAAUGCACUUUUAAAUAUUAGGUACUGUAAUGAUAACAAAAGUAUCACAUGAUUUAUUAGCAUUAUAAGUCAUUUUGUUUUCGUGAAUAGUUUUUGUUCUUGUUUGGUGACCUGUUGGCUUGAGGUGUAAAGACAUUUUGCUUUUAUGGUAUUUGGCCGUUUUUUGAAUGCCAGUUAAGAUGUGUAAUUUGCUUAUCGUUUGGUGAAAGCCAGUUGACAAGAUGUGGAUAAACCCAGUUGGCGCAUGUAGUUUUUUAACCAAACUUGUUAAAACGUACGUUUACAUUUACAUUUUUGUGUCUUAUAUUUUUAAGAUUGUACUGAUCGAGUGGUAUUCAAUAUAUUGGAGAAUAUUACAUGUAUGUUAUUAAAGGCCAGAUUGGCUUAUGUGAAUUAACCGGUUGGUUUGUGUUGUCAGUUGACAGUUUGUUGAAGGCAGAUUUUUUCAUAUACGUAUAAGCCAGUUUGCUUGCGUGUCAGUUCACCGAAAUUUCUCAAAACGCAUGUUGAAAUUGCAUUUACAAAUGUUUGCAAAGUUUAUUUUUUCAGUAGCUUGACAGUUCGAAGGAUAAAUAAUGAAUAGUGUAACAUUAAAGUAAGAGGGCAGCUCGAAAGGUAUGAUUGUUUUUUGUAUAAUAAUGUAUUAGAAAAUCUUGUACUUGUCAAGAUUAAUAAUGAUUUUAUUGAUGAUGUUAUUAAUGAUGAUGAUGAUGCUAAUGCUAUUGAUGAUGAGGAUGAGUGUUUUACAGUAUUUUGUUAAUAGAUAAUACUACAUUUACGAACUUUGAGUAAAUGAAAUUAUUAUAGGUUUGAUAAAUACGGAAUAGUGUUGGUCUAUACAUAUUAUUUAGAAGAGAAAGAUAGUACGGUUAUGGUAAAGCACAAACAAUGAACGCGUUUCUCGUUUUUAAGUUGAAUUGAACAAAAACAAGUUACGGCUCAGCAACAGGGAUUAUUCUCACUGGGUAAAGGUAUUCUUUUUAGAGUCACAGAAAUUAAACUUUGCAUCAAUACAGGUUUUCUUUGAGAUUUGUUUGAUAGGUUAAAAUUCAAUAAUUUGACGAGGUUUCCAGCCGACCGAGUACCUAUAGCUUUGUAUUUGAGUGUAUUAAGGAUUUUGUUAUUUUCAAAUUAGUUGAUCAAAAUUAAUUAAGUGUUCUAUUAUAUCUAUUGAGCCAAUGCUAUUUCCAUGGAAAUUUGAGCCAGGUUUCGAUCAGUAGCUUAAAGUAUAUCUGUGUUGGUGAAUUGAACAUAAAACAAAUGUCAAGUCGGUAGUUUUAAAUUUAAGAGCAGAAAAUACGUAUUGAUUUUGUGUAAACAUUAGUAACCUGUGUUUGGUAUUUGUGUAUGUUACUUGUGGUCAUUGGACCAAUUUGUUUAAGGCGAAUGGGCCUGAUUUGGAAAGCCAGUUGGCUUGUAUGGUCAAUUGACCGUUUUUCAAAGCCAUUCUAUCUAAUGUGUGAAAGCCAGUUGGCUUGUGUUGUCAGUUUACCGAACUUUCUUAAAACAAAAGUCACAUAGAAUUAACAAUCUUUGAAAGUUUAUUGUUUGCAGUGCAGUAACUGGACAUUUCGAAUAGUAUAUUAAGUAUUGAAGAACAUAAAUGUAUGGUUUAUUAUUAUUAGCAGGAUUCUGAUUAUGAUGUUUUUUAUUUUUGUUUUAAUAAUUAUCAUUAAUUUUAUAAAUAUUGUUUUAUUAUUUCUGUUUUAUUCUAUUUUAUUUUCUUAGUGGUCAGUUGAUAGUUUGUUGAUGGCAAUAGGUGCCUGAUGAGUAUAAGCCGGUUGGCAUGUUUGGUCAGUUGACCGUUUGUGAAGGCUAGAGUAUGCCUUAUGUUGAUACGCCAGUUGGCUUGUGUUAGUUGAUCGUACUUUCUUAGAACGCAUGUCCACAUGGAAUAAACAAUAUUUGCAAGUUUAUUUUUGUAGUGCAGUAAGUGGACAGUUUGAAUGGUUUAUUUAGUAUUGGAGAACAUAAAGGUAUUGUUUAUUUAGUAUGUUAUUAUUAUUAUUAUUAUUAUUAAGAUUAUGAUAAUGAUUUUUUAAUUUUUGUUUUAAUAAUUAUCAUUAUUUUGUAAAUAUUGUUUUAUUAUAUCUGUUUUAUUCUCUUGUGUAUUAUCCGAGUUGUCAGUUGACCGUUUGUGAAGGCCAGAGUGGGCCUGUUGUUGAUUAGCCAGUUGGCUUAUGUGGUCAUUUGACCGUUUGUAAAGGCCAGCGUGCCAGAUGUUGAUAAGCCAGUUGGCUUGUGUGGUCAUUUGACCGUUUGCAAAGGCUAGAGUGUUCCAGAUGUUGAUAAGCCAGUUGGCUUGUGUUAGUUGACCUUACUUUCUUUGAACGCAUGUCCACAUGGAAUAAACAAUCUUUGCAAGUUUAUUUUUUGCAGUGCAGUAACUGGACAGUUCGAAUGGUAUAUUAAGUAUUGGAGAACAUAAAGGUAUGGUUUAUGUAGUAUGUUAUCAUUAUUAUAAAGAUUAUGAUUAUGAUAUUUUCUAUUUCCGUUUUAUUAUUUAUCAUUAAUUUUGUAAAUAUUGUUUUAUUAUAUCUGUUUAAUUCUCUUGUACAUUAUUCGAGUGGUCAUUUGACCGUUUGUGAAGGCCAGAGUGUGCCUGAUGUUGAUUAGCCGUUUGGCUUGUGUGGUCAUUUGACCGUUUGUGAAGGCCAGAGUGUGCCUGAUGUCGAUUAGCCAGUUGGCUUGUGUGGUCAUUUGACCGUUUGUGAAGGCAAGACUGUGCCUGAUGUUGAUAAGCCAGUUGGCUUGUGUGGUCAGUUGACCGUUGUUGAAGGCCAUAGUGUGCCUAUUUUGAUUGAAUUAUUUUUAUUGCUUUUACAAAUAUUUGUAAUUGUAUCUUUUCAGUUAAAACACAGUUCGAGAGGUAUAUAACGUGGUGGGGAAUAUUUAGGUAUCCAUUUUAUGUUUUAUAUUAUUUGUAUUCUCUCUUUGUUUUAUUCGAAAGUCCUGUCAAAUACAAGCACUCACUCCUAUUUUGUCUUUGGUUUAUUAUUUGUAUGAUAAUGAUAAUGAUGAUGAUAUGGGUUAUAAAGAUGAUGAGAUUUUAAUAGUAUUUUGAGAAUAGAGAAUAAUAAAUUUACACAUAACUAUGAGUAAAUGAAAUUAUUCUCGGUUUGAUUAAUACGGUAUAGUAUGGUUUAAUACGUGUUAUUUAGAAGAGAGAUUAUGGUAAUGGUUUAGCGCGAAUAAUACACGGGUUUUGUGUGCAUGUUUUAGCGCGAAAGCGCACGAGUUUUUCGUUUUGGGGUAUAUAUGAUUUGCACAUCUAUUGAGUCGCCAUUCGAGGGUGUAUUUGACAGGCAAACGUUAUGGAACAAGAUAACGAAAGGGUGAUAACCCCGCCCACCCGCCCUUAAUGAACAUAUGUAUGGUUAAAUAAUGGUUACAUUGCUUUUAUGUUUAUAAUUUUGCAAUUAUAAAGUCUAUAUUUAGUAUAUUUUCAGUUCGGUUUUUAGUCCAUGUGAGAUGGGAUCUUAACACGAACCGAUUCCUUUACUGGGAAAGACGAUGGGUGUAUUUUCAUUUAAGUCUGAAGCAGCUAAGUUUUCUUGAUUAUUUUGACUCAUUUUUUUACUUAAUAUUGUGUUUGAAUGAGGUUUUUUAAGUUAUUGGUGUCAUGUUUUUCGAGACUCUGACUUCCUGGAGAUAGUUCCUCCAGCAUAUUUAUUGAAAUAUUGGUAUGUUUAAAUGUCAGUGUUAUAUUUUUUGUUGUCUUUCGUAAUGAACGUUUGGUUUUAAAGACAUUCUUAUUGUACAUUACUUAAUAUUUUCAUUUUGGUGUGACUGGUUAGAUGUUGAAGUCGGUUUAAUAUAUCUGUUAUAUAUUUCUCGGAAUACUUAUGAUUUAUCAACAUUCUUUUUAGGUGCUUUAUGGAUUUUAUGGUUUGAGUGAUUUGUUUGUUUCUUGUUGAUGUCCGGGGUGUGUGCGGGAUGCUUUUGAUGUUUGUUUGUUAUGUUAAUUUGCGCAAUGAAAUUGAUAAUGUUUUAAUUACAUGUUUUACUAAAGAAUACUUAAUGUUUACAGUAUAACAAUAGCUGCUUAUUUGUAGAUUUCUCUUAUAUUAGAGGUUUCGGGAGGUGAUGAAGGCACCUAGACACCGGUUUCGAGCCAUGGGUCCUCAUACGUCCCCCUGCCAUUAAAAGAAAAAAUGAGAAAACAAAAUGGCAGUAGGGUUGCGUAUCCCGCUCGCGGUUUUACCUGAAUCGUUUAUUACUACUGAUUAUUGUAUGGGGUGUACGUAAAGUCAUGUACACUUCUCUUGAUGGGUGGUGGUGGAUGAAUCUUGCAGAUAUUAGCAGCUUCUUUGAAACAAUUAAUGUUUCACAUUUGUUAAUUUAUAAUAUUUAAGCAAGUUAGCGUGAAUGAUGGGCAUUGGGGGCGUCCUGUGUACCAUUGGGCAUCGGCGGGGAUCAGUUUAUUCAAACAGUUACUAUUUAUUUGAGAUAUAUACUUGUCUAAUUGUUAUGAAUAAAUUUGCACUUGUUCACAUGACACACAUGUGCAUGUGAAGUAUUCAUAAUUACAUGCCCUACAGCAUUUAAAUAGUAUCGUUUCAGUUCUUUAUACACCUGAGCAAAGAUGUAACACCGUUUCCAGUCGUCUCGAGACUCAUCAACAGAGCGGUGCCGUUGAGGUCUAUAUCCAUUGCACAUAUAACACAUACGGGCGUCAGAAGAAUUGUUUUUUACAUUUAUAUGUCGAAAGUCCUGUCAAAUACAAGCACUCACUCCUA